RNAcentral lists this ribosomal RNA (253 nucleotides) under uncultured bacterium. Its description in RNAcentral is "partial 16S ribosomal RNA". It matches the Rfam family "Bacterial small subunit ribosomal RNA", at positions 524 to 776 of the family's 1533-position model. The record is from RNAcentral.
UACAGAGACUGCGAGCGUUAUUCGGAUUCACUGGGCGUAAAGGGUGCGCAGGCGGCCGUGUGUGUGAGGCGUGAAAGCCCGGGGCUUAACCCCGGAAUUGCACCUCAAACUACACGGCUAGAGCAUUGGAGAGGGUAGCGGAAUUCACGGUGUAGCAGUGAAAUGCGUAGAUAUCGUGAGGAACACCAGAGGCGAAGGCGGCUUCCUGGUCUGUAACUGACACUGAGGCGCGAAAGCUAGGGGAGCAAACAGG